RNAcentral lists this ribosomal RNA (465 nucleotides) under Vreelandella stevensii. RNAcentral's name for it is "partial 16S ribosomal RNA". It matches the Rfam family "Bacterial small subunit ribosomal RNA", at positions 338 to 795 of the family's 1533-position model. Lineage: Bacteria; Pseudomonadati; Pseudomonadota; Gammaproteobacteria; Oceanospirillales; Halomonadaceae. The record is from RNAcentral.
CCUACGGGGGGCUGCAGUGGGGAAUAUUGGACAAUAGGGGGAACCCUGAUCCAGCCAUGCCGCGUGUGUGAAGAAGGCCCUCGGGUUGUAAAGCACUUUCAGUGAGGAAGAACGCCUGGUGGUUAAUACCCAUCAGGAAAGACAUCACUCACAGAAGAAGCACCGGCUAACUCCGUGCCAGCAGCCGCGGUAAUACGGAGGGUGCGAGCGUUAAUCGGAAUUACUGGGCGUAAAGCGCGCGUAGGUGGCUUGAUAAGCCGGUUGUGAAAGCCCCGGGCUCAACCUGGGAACGGCAUCCGGAACUGUCAAGCUAGAGUGCAGGAGAGGAAGGUAGAAUUCCCGGUGUAGCGGUGAAAUGCGUAGAGAUCGGGAGGAAUACCAGUGGCGAAGGCGGCCUUCUGGACUGACACUGACACUGAGGUGCGAAAGCGUGGGUAGCAAACAGGAUUAGAUACCCGAGUAGUC